RNAcentral lists this ribosomal RNA (467 nucleotides) under uncultured bacterium. RNAcentral's name for it is "partial 16S ribosomal RNA". It matches the Rfam family "Bacterial small subunit ribosomal RNA", at positions 28 to 507 of the family's 1533-position model. The record is from RNAcentral.
GACGAACGCUGGCGGCGUGCUUAACACAUGCAAGUCGAACGGAAAGGCCUCUUUCGGGGGGUAUUCGAGUGGCGAACGGGUGAGUAACACGGGAGUAACCUGCCCUUGACUUUGGGAUAACUUCAGGAGAAUGGGGCUAUUACCGGAUAGGAGAUCCUGCUGCAUGGUGGGGGUUGGAGAGCUUCGGCGGUUGGGGGUGGACUCGCGGCUUAUCAGCUUGUUGGUGGGGUAGUGGCUUACGAAGGCUCUGGCGGGUAGCCGGCCUGAGGGGGUGACCGGCCACAUUGGGACUUAGAUACGGCCCAGACGCCGACGGGUGGCAGCAGGGGGGAAUAUUGCACAAGGGGUGGAAGCCUGAUGCAGCAACGCCUUGGGCGGGAUGGCCGCCUUCGGGGUGAAAACCGGUUUCGCUCAUGACCAAGCUUUGUGUGACGGUAGUGGGUAAAGAAGCACCGGCUAACUACGUG